Long non-coding RNA from Vigna radiata var. radiata (mung bean), 1317 nucleotides. RefSeq lists it as uncharacterized. The record is from RefSeq and is a predicted model, not a curated record. The transcript has 6 exons. NCBI's taxonomy places the organism in Eukaryota, Viridiplantae, Streptophyta, Magnoliopsida, Fabales, Fabaceae.
AAUUUUUUACGUUUCCCUCUCAUAUGUCUAGUUUUAUCAUGUUGGCUCUGAGUCUCGAUCUUCUCUCCUCUACUCCAAACCCUUGCAUAUUUCUCGUUCCAUCUCAGUCUCGCUUCUCUCCUCCGUGCUCUGAGGACAGUCCUCCCUCUGCUGCUUCUGAGACUGGCGUCUCUUCGUCAAAAUCUCCAAAGUGUGAUCAAAUUCAUGGGGAUUGUGUUUGGAUUGGCGGGGAAACUGUUGUUCGUCGGGGCGAAUUCGAGAAGUUGUUGUUCGUAAGAGGCGACCGUGGAAGAAGGUGGUAUUGCUACACUUGUGGAGGCGAUCGAAGAUGGGUCGGUGAAGGGGAAGGAGUUCGUUAUUCUGACUCUUGCUCAGCUCUGUGCUCACAGUGUUAACAACAGAGACUUGCUUGUGGAUUCCUCCUCUCGUUGCUNUUUCUCAAAACGACUCUGUUCGAGCUAAGCACAAGGGUUUAGUUUCCCCUUUAUCAGAAUCUUGCUUUCCGCGACCAUAGGCAAGUGCCUGAACUUUUUCUGANUUUUUUUGUGGCGUGUUCGAAUUUUGAGUUCUUUUCUGCAAUAGGUUCGAUGGUAAGGAUUUCCUGAACAGGUGGAAGGGUAAGAAGAUAAUGUUUGUGGGUGACUCGCUGAGUCUCAACAUGUGGGAAUCACUAUCCUGUAUGAUUCANNCGUNGGNGCCAAAUACCAAGAGCAGCUUUUUGAGGAAAGAAUCACUGUCUACUAUAACCUUCCAGUACCUUGAAGAUGUUCAGCUGACAGAGUUGAUUCAAGAACUGUCAACUCUAGCUAAUUCACCAAGCUGGCCAGCCAGGCAUGGUUCCGUCCUUACAAUAUCUUCCCUCAUCUUUGGUGAAAGAUAAAACCCUUGUCACUAAUUUUAAGAUUGUUUUGCUAAUGUUGUUUUGGAAAAGCAGCAAAGGCCUAAGUGAUGUAGUGGUGGCUGAUCAUACUUGUUCUGGGGAAAAUUGCUCUUACUACCAAAUUGGAGAUGUAUUUAUUUGUGAGAAGACUGGACAAGUUCAUGGUGGAAGCAUUAUCUAUGUUAAUGCUUCUACGUGUUUUAAUUAAAAUUUUUUACAUUAAACUUUAAAUCCUUUGGCUGAGUGGAACUUAUAAUUUGCGCUUUGUAGUUUGUGACGAUACGUGUAGAGAUGUAAUUAUGGAUCCCACAGACGAGCUUUUGGUAUGUACAAUAUCAGGUCAAUGUUUUGAUAGAUUGUUGUCACCUUCCGAAAUGGAGUCUGAUAUUGUAAGUGUGAAUGUUCUUUAACAUGAUAUUCAAUAUUGUUUACUGCAA